This 484-nucleotide ribosomal RNA is filed under the name uncultured bacterium. RNAcentral's name for it is "partial 16S ribosomal RNA". It matches the Rfam family "Bacterial small subunit ribosomal RNA", at positions 29 to 507 of the family's 1533-position model. The record is from RNAcentral.
AUUGAACGCUGGCGGCAUGCUUUACACAUGCAAGUCGAACGGCAGCGCGGGCUUCGGCCUGGCGGCGAGUGGCGAACGGGUGAGUAAUACAUCGGAACGUGCCCAGUAGUGGGGGAUAGCUCGGCGAAAGCCGGAUUAAUACCGCAUACGACCUGAGGGUGAAAGCGGGGGAUCUUCGGACCUCGCGCUAUUGGAGCGGCCGAUGGCAGAUUAGCUAGUUGGUGGGGUAAAGACCUACCAAGGCGACGAUCUGUAGCUGGUCUGAGAGGACGACCAGCCACACUGGGACUGAGACACGGCCCAGACUCCUACGGGAGGCAGCAGUGGGGAAUUUUGGACAAUGGGCGAAAGCCUGAUCCAGCAAUGCCGCGUGUGUGAUGAAGGCCUUCGGGUUGUAAAGCACUUUUGGCGGGAACGAAAAGGACUGUGCCAAUACCACGGUUCGAUGACGGUACCCGCAGAAUAAGCACCGGCUAACUACGUG